UACGUAGGGGGCAAGCGUUAUCCGGAUUCACUGGGUUUAAAGGGCGCGCAGGCGGAUUUGUAAGUCAGUGGUGAAAGGCUUAAGCUUAACUUGGGAACUGCCAUUGAUACUAUAAGUCUUGAAUGUUGUUGAGGUUUGCGGAAUGGGUCAUGUAGCGGUGAAAUGCAUAGAUAUGACCCGGAACACCUAUUGCGAAGGCAGCAGGCUAAACAAAUAUUGACGCUGAGGCUCGAAAGCGUGGGGAUCAAACAGG
RNAcentral lists this ribosomal RNA (253 nucleotides) under uncultured bacterium. RNAcentral describes it as "partial 16S ribosomal RNA". It matches the Rfam family "Bacterial small subunit ribosomal RNA", at positions 524 to 776 of the family's 1533-position model. The record is from RNAcentral.